GACGAACGCUGGCGGCGUGCUUAACACAUGCAAGUCGAACGGAAAGGCCCUGCUUUUGUGGGGUGCUCGAGUGGCGAACGGGUGAGUAACACGUGAGUAACCUGCCCUUGACUUUGGGAUAACUUCAGGAAACUGGGGCUAAUAUCGGAUAGGAGCUCCUGCUGCAUGGUGGGGGUUGGAAAGUUUCGGCGGUGGGGGAUGGACUCGCGGCUUAUCAGCUUGUUGGUGGGGUAGUGUCUUACCAAGGCUUUGACGGGUAGCCGGCCUGAGAGGGUGACCGGCCACAUUGGGACUGAGAUACGGCCCAGACUCCUACGGGAGGCAGCAGUGGGGAAUAUUGCACACUGGGCGGCAGCCUGCUGCAGCAACGCCGCGUGCGGGAUGACGGCCUUCGGGUUGUAAACCGCUUUCGCCUGUGACGAAGCGUGAGUGACGGUAAUGGGUAAAGAAGCACCGGCUAACUACGUG
Molecule: ribosomal RNA, 468 nt
Filed under: uncultured bacterium
Lineage: Bacteria
Description: partial 16S ribosomal RNA
Rfam family: Bacterial small subunit ribosomal RNA
Source: RNAcentral